RNAcentral lists this long non-coding RNA (1727 nucleotides) under Eucalyptus grandis. RNAcentral's name for it is "long non-coding RNA (EGRA_LNC000286)". Lineage: Eukaryota; Viridiplantae; Streptophyta; Magnoliopsida; Myrtales; Myrtaceae. The record is from RNAcentral.
CCACGAAUACGAUUCCUUUUUCGCUUUCGAUUCGCCGCCAGUGCGCCACCUCCACCAUCGCCCGUCACCGCUCGCUGCCGCCCAUCGUCGCCUCGUCGCCUCGUCGCCGCUCGCCACCGCCCAUCAUCGCCUCAUCGUCGCUCGCCAUUGCCCCGCCGCCGCUCGCCGCCACCCAUCAUCGCCUUGUCGCCACGAUCAGUCUCGCGGAUCAGCUGGACUAAAACCCUAAAAGCAGCACUCGUCUGCUCGUCGCGAACGGCUCGCGGAACCAUCAUCGGAGGAUAGAGCCGCUUGGUUCAGGUAAUCCGUCUGAACACGCAUUCGUGGAUUUCAUUUAUGUUGAGCUGUCGUCGUUGAAGAGGGUGUGCAGGUAUAUAGAUGUUCUUGAUCGCGGUCUGCCUCGUGGGUUUAUGACUAGGGAGCGUUUAACUGAAAUGAUAUUUGGGUUUUGCGGGAAUCUGGAUUUGGAACAGAGCAUGGUUUAAGAGCAUUGCUGAUUAGCUAACCUUUGUGCUUAUGUUUUAUGGACAUUGUGUUUCAUGGUCGGUAUAGUAGAAAGAGAAGAUGGGUUUGUUGGGUAGGAGGACAAAAUGAUGCUGCCUACGUUUUGCCCAAUUUUAUUGAGAUAAUCUCGAGGUAGCCUUAGCGAGCAAUGCUUAGAGAUAUUGAGCAGUCUUUCUCGCUUCUGACUUGGCUUCCAUGAGUUUUGGUGUUGGACAACCAUUUGUUAUUUUAAUGAUCUGAACUUUUGUUCAUUUUCUUGAGUGGUAAGUUUGUGCACCUAUGUCUUUAUUAUGUUUUGUGCUCUCUAAAGAAGGUGAGGAUGAAUUUGAUGACUGCUGCUUUUUUCAUUGGUCAGAUUCUUUGAUAGAUGCUAGAGACUUGGGUUUUUCAUUAACAUCCAUGUUCCAUGUAUGAAUUCAUUCUUUACCCUUUAUGUUAAAUUCAUAAUAUGCAAUCCUGAACCUGUUCUAAUUUAUGUUUUCUCCAACUAAUUAGUUGACAUGUCAAGAGAUAACGAGGAUCAAGAAGAAUAUUCAACUACAGAACAAUUCGAGAGACGUAGAGUUGCAUCCUUAGUUCGUGAGGAUGAGGAAGAUAACUCUACUUGCUCUAAGCGUUCAAGAAAAUGCACUCUCUCUCUCUCGAUAUGUGACUAAGAUUUCCUUGUUCUCUUUGCUUUUGCAGUUUGCUCCAACCAUUGAAAUGAUCGAUGACCAACAUCUGUAGUGUGGCUGUGACAGCGUGAACAUGUGCUUCAGUCUUCUGCUCUACUUCAUAAUGAAGCAUGGCGUUACAUCGAGGGGGAACUUGCAAUGAAUUGUCUCUCUAAUCAAGUUUACGAAUUUGUUAUGCUCUCGAAACCUUACCAGUUCAAGAUCAGUCCUAUGCCCUGCAAAUAGAAGCAUGUGGUUAAACCCCUGGUUCUCUUUUUCUCUUUGUAAAAGAAUGACUGGCUAUAGGAUAGGAUUUGACAGAUCGAGUCGGUAAUGGUUGAGGAAAGUGCUGUGUGACAUCUUAGAAGCUCCUGAAGACAUUUUUUUGUGGAAGUCAUGUAUAUUUGCAUUAGAUAGUUUGCCCUAGAUUUGAUGCACCAGUUGAAACAUAUGUUCUAGAGUCAUACUGCAAGGAGUCCGAGACUAUGGGCCAAAUCAUGUGUUGAAGCUGCAGCAAUUUAAUGGUAGUACAGUUACAAUAUCGCCUUUGACGGCCCAAGAAGCGAAAGC